This 1809-nucleotide ribosomal RNA is filed under the name Triticum aestivum (bread wheat). Its description in RNAcentral is "partial small subunit ribosomal RNA". Lineage: Eukaryota; Viridiplantae; Streptophyta; Magnoliopsida; Poales; Poaceae. The record is from RNAcentral.
AUGGAUCCCGACGGGGACGGCUCCUUCCACCGGAAGGAGGCCAUCUCCGCCGUGCAGGACGUCGACCAGUACUACGGCGACGACGACGACUACGACGACCUCUACAACGACGUCAACGUCGGGGACGGCUNNNNNNNNNNNNNNNNNNNNNNNNNNNNNNNNNNNNNNNNNNNNNNNNNNNNNNNNNNGCACCAGCUCCCCCCGCAGCAGGCGCCCCCGCCGCAGCAGCAGCAGCAGGUUCUGCCUACCCCUUCGCUCCCGCUUCCCCCGCCGCCGCCUCCGAUGGGGCACCCGGAGAAGGUCCACAUCCCGGGGGUCGCGUCCGUCCCUGCCCCCAUCCAAGACCGCCCCAACCCGUCCCAUCUCCCGCCGCCGCCUCAGCCUCCCGUCGCCGCGGCACCGCCGCCGCCUCCCCACCACCAGAUCCAGUCGGGAGGAGACGGGUUCCACCGGCAGGGAGGGGGCAACUUCGGGGGAGGACCGAUAGUUGUUGGCAACGGCGGGGGUGGCGACGGCCCUGGCGCUACCACGCUCUUCGUUGGGGACCUCCACUGGUGGACGACGGACGCGGAUCUGGAGGCGGAGCUCGUCAAGUACGGCCAUGUCAAGGAAGUCAGGUUCUUUGAUGAGAAGGCGAGCGGGAAAUCCAAGGGAUAUUGCCAGGUCGAUUUCUUUGACCCUGGCGCUGCUGCUGCCUGCAAGGAGGGCAUGAACGGCCACCCGUUCAAUGGCCGUCCCUGUGUCGUGGCCUUUGCUUCGCCUAACACUGUACGCCGCAUGGGUGAAGCUCAGAUGAAGAACCACCAACCGAUGGGUCAGCAGAAUUCAGGUAUGCAGAAGAGUGGUGGCAGAGGUGGUGGUGGUCCACCUGGAGGCCCGCCUGGGCCUCAGGUUGGAGGAAACUAUGGUGGCCGGGGAGGCGGAGGAGCUGGUGGUGGCGGCGGUGGUGGAGGAGGAGGCGGGGCAGGUGGUGGGAAUUGGGGCAGAGGUCCAGGUGGUGGUGGGAUGGGGGGUAGAGGUCCUGGUGGGAAUAUGAGGAAUCGGAUGGGUCCGGUGGGUGGCCGAGGGAUCAUGGGGAACGGAGGGAUGGUGGCUCCGCCGCCACCAAUGAUGCAUCCCGGAGGGAUGAUGGGGCAGGGAUUUGAUCCCACUGGCUAUGGUGCAGCCAUGGGAAGGAUGGGUGGAGGGUUUGGAGGGUUCCCUGGUGGACCUGGGGGUGCACCGUUCCCAGGCUUGAUGCAGCCAUUCCCACCUGUGGUUGCUCCUCAUGUGAACCCAGCAUUCUUUGGGAGAGGAGGUGGUAUGGGUGCCGGGGGUGUUGGAAUGUGGCCAGACCCAAGCAUGGGUGGUGGUUGGGGAGGUGAGGAACAAUCAAGCUAUGGGGAUGAUGCAGCAUCUGAUCAGCACUAUGGAGAAGGUGGAAGCCAUGGUAAAGAGAGGCCACCAGAGCGGGAAUGGUCAGGUGCACCAGAAAGGAGGCGGGAGAGGGAAAAGGAUUUGCCCCCACCGCCAGAAUUGCCGGAGAGAAGGCACCGUGAUGAAAGGGAUAUGGGUCGUGAGAGGGAAAGAGAGAGGGACAGAGGAGGAGAUAGGGAAAGGGAGAGGGACAGAGGAGAUAGGGAAAGGGAGAGGGAUAGAGGAGAUAGGGACAGACACAGGGAUGACAGAGAUCGCCAUGGUGAUUAUCACAGACACAGGGAGCGUGAUUCUGAUCGUACUGAAGACUGGGAUAGAGGAAGAUCAUCUGGGAGACGAAGCAGGUCAAGGGAGGUUGAUCACUCAAAGCGGCGACGAAUGUCGCACGAGUGA